Molecule: ribosomal RNA, 450 nt
Filed under: uncultured bacterium
Lineage: Bacteria
Description: partial 16S ribosomal RNA
Rfam family: Bacterial small subunit ribosomal RNA
Source: RNAcentral
CCUACGGGUGGCUGCAGUCGAGAAUCUUCGGCAAUGGGCGCAAGCCUGACCGAGCGACGCCGCGUGGAGGACGAAGGCCUUCGGGUUGUAAACUCCUGUCGAGGGGGAAGAAGGUCCGCAAGGGCUUGACUGAUCCCUGGAGGAAGCACGGGCUAAGUUCGUGCCAGCAGCCGCGGUAAGACGAACCGUGCGAACGUUAUUCGGAAUCACUGGGCUUAAAGCGCGUGGAGGGGGGGGGGCACGUCGGUCGGAAAUCCCCCGGCUCAACCGGGGAACGGGCGCCGAUACGACCGUCCUCGAGGGACGUAGGGGGACCUGGAACUUCCGGUGGAGCGGUGAAAUGCGUUGAGAUCGGAAGGAACGCCCGUGGCGAAAGCGAGGUCCUGGACGUUUUCUGACGCUGAGACGCGAAAGCCAGGGGAGCGAACGGGAUUAGAUACCCCUGUAGUC